GAUCUACUAGCUCAGUUGGUAGAGCACCUGACUUUUAAUCAGGGUGUCCCGCGUUCGAGUCGCGGGUGGAUCACCA
Molecule: transfer RNA, 76 nt
Filed under: Pelosinus sp. UFO1
Lineage: Bacteria; Bacillati; Bacillota; Negativicutes; Selenomonadales; Sporomusaceae
Description: tRNA-Lys (TTT) (tRNA-Lys-TTT-1-1)
Rfam family: tRNA
About the family: Transfer RNA (tRNA) molecules are approximately 80 nucleotides in length. Their secondary structure includes four short double-helical elements and three loops (D, anti-codon, and T loops). Further hydrogen bonds mediate the characteristic L-shaped molecular structure. tRNAs have two regions of fundamental functional importance: the anti-codon, which is responsible for specific mRNA codon recognition, and the 3' end, to which the tRNAs corresponding amino acid is attached (by aminoacyl-tRNA synthetases). tRNAs cope with the degeneracy of the genetic code in two manners: having more than one tRNA (with a specific anti-codon) for a particular amino acid; and 'wobble' base-pairing, i.e. permitting non-standard base-pairing at the 3rd anti-codon position.
Source: RNAcentral